This 253-nucleotide ribosomal RNA is filed under the name uncultured bacterium. Its description in RNAcentral is "partial 16S ribosomal RNA". It matches the Rfam family "Bacterial small subunit ribosomal RNA", at positions 524 to 776 of the family's 1533-position model. The record is from RNAcentral.
UACGGAGGAUCCAAGCGUUAUCCGGAUUUAUUGGGCGUAAAGAGCUCGUAGGCGGUUUGUCACGUCGGGAGUGAAAACUCGGGGCUCAACCCCGAGCCUGCUUCCGAUACGGGCAGACUAGAGGUAUGCAGGGGAGAAUGGAAUUCCUGGUGUAGCGGUGAAAUGCGCAGAUAUCAGGAGGAACACCGGUGGCGAAGGCGGUUCUCUGGGCAUUACCUGACGCUGAGGAGCGAAAGUGUGGGGAGCGAACAGG